UUCAGGAAAAAAGAAAAAGAAAUGUGUUGUUUUUCCUCCCUAAAGGCCUCUAGCUGCUAGGCAUAAUUUUUUUUUCUCAUUAUUUUCCAGGAAACCUUGCCCUUGGACUAAGAUCAAGAAACUCAGAGCAAAUGCAAAGAAGAUUUUGAGUGAGGUCUUCUUCAGCUCUGAGGAACACUGUGUUACUUUCACCAAAAGACAUGCUUCCCUCACCGCAGGCCUGGGGGCUGUAGCUGGGCACUGCCAGUGGAAACCCAGAAAGGUUCUAAGCUCUAAGUUUCAUUAUCGGACCCUCGUGGACCUCAUUUCCUUAGGCCUGUGACCUCACUGCAGUGCUGAGUCCCUGUGCUGACAGUAGCCUUCAUCUCCACUAACCAUUCUGCUAUGUCCCAGUGCUUCCUGGAGUCAAGGACAGUUUUACUGGGAGGAUUUAAGGUACAGAGGAAGUAUUUUUGUGCUACUCAAACUAAACCACAUGGACGAUUAUUUACUUGCCUAAAAAAAUAGCUGGUUCCACAAACUGCUGUUUUCUUUCUUUUUAGGAUGACCAUUUUAAUGAUCGCUUUGCUGGUAUUAUUGGGAGGUUUAAUAAUGAUGCAGAAACAGAGAAGAGCCUGGAGCUAAAUGUGAGUAAUUUAGAGCUAAGAGGUCUUCAUGCUGCCAACAUUACAUUGAAACUCCAUUAUAGCAAAACCUAGUUUGAAACCCCCCCAAAAAAUUGG
RNAcentral lists this long non-coding RNA (722 nucleotides) under Vulpes vulpes (red fox). Its description in RNAcentral is "lncRNA (ENSVVUG00000001543.1)". The record is from RNAcentral. Lineage: Eukaryota; Metazoa; Chordata; Mammalia; Carnivora; Canidae.